UACGUAGGGGGCGAGCGUUGUCCGGAAUUACUGGGCGUAAAGAGCUCGUAGGUGGUUUGUCGCGUUGACCGUGAAAACUCACAACUCAAUUGUGGGCGUGCGGGCGAUACGGGCAGACUGGAGUACUGCAGGGGAGACUGGAAUUCCUGGUGUAGCGGUGGAAUGCGCAGAUAUCCGGAGGAACACCGGUGGCGAAGGCGGCUUCCUGGACCGACACUGACGCUGAGGCGCGAAAGCUAGGGGAGCAAACGGG
This 253-nucleotide ribosomal RNA is filed under the name uncultured bacterium. RNAcentral describes it as "partial 16S ribosomal RNA". It matches the Rfam family "Bacterial small subunit ribosomal RNA", at positions 524 to 776 of the family's 1533-position model. The record is from RNAcentral.